This 495-nucleotide ribosomal RNA is filed under the name uncultured bacterium. RNAcentral's name for it is "partial 16S ribosomal RNA". It matches the Rfam family "Bacterial small subunit ribosomal RNA", at positions 28 to 507 of the family's 1533-position model. The record is from RNAcentral.
GACGAACGCUGGCGGCGUGCCUAAUACAUGCCAGUAGAACGCUGAAGGAGGAGCUUGCUUCUCUGGAUGAGUUGCGAACGGGUGAGUAACGCGUAGGUAACCUGCCUGGUAGCGGGGGAUAACUAUUGGAAACGAUAGCUAAUACCGCAUAAUAGCAGUUAUUGCAUGAUAACUGUUUGAAAGGUGCAAUUGCACCACUACCAGAUGGACCUGCGUUGUAUUAGCUAGUUGGUGGGGUAACGGCUCACCAAGGCGACGAUACAUAGCCGACCUGAGAGGGUGAUCGGCCACACUGGGACUGAGACACGGCCCAGACUCCUACGGGAGGCAGCAGUAGGGAACCUUCGGCAAUGGACGGAAGUCUGACCGAGCAACGCCGCGUGAGUGAAGAAGGUUUUCGGAUCGUAAAGCUCUGUUGUAAGAGAAGAACGAGUGUGAGAGUGGAAAGUUCACACUGUGACGGUAUCUUACCAGAAAGGGACGGCUAACUACGUG